This is a long non-coding RNA of Triticum aestivum (bread wheat), 1508 nucleotides long. RefSeq lists it as uncharacterized. The transcript has 3 exons. The record is from RefSeq and is a predicted model, not a curated record. Lineage: Eukaryota; Viridiplantae; Streptophyta; Magnoliopsida; Poales; Poaceae.
GGGCAGGGCAGGUAGAAGUAGAAUUCAUGAGCGAGCGGCGACUGUAUGUAUAUUCGGGAUCUGAACUUGGUUUCAAUCUGGUUUGGGGCAGGUGCCCCUGUCCCGCUUACGUCGAGAAACCGCGUCAACCAACUCCACAGGUUAUCGACAAGGCGGCAAGCACAAGCCGUCCCGGCGGACGGCGACGGCUUCCUCGCCCUGUGCCGGCCGCGGUCACCGCGAAACGGCGGCGCACGGUCGGCAGGGCCACGCGCGCUCUCUGCUGGCGGCGCACGCGGAGGCAAGCCGAUAAACACGAGUGAUUCUAGGCGGUGGCACCAGGCCAGGGCGGUAGGGGGCCUACACGCGCGACCCGACUCGACUCUCGCAUUUGGGGAUCGGGGGACCAGAUUGCACAUCGUUUUCCGUUUGAGGGACCAGAUUGCCCUCUGCCGUCGCCGUCGCCGUCGGGGGUGGCGGCCAUGGGUUCACGCACGGCGCGGGUUUGCCCCGCCCCCUCCCCUUCCCUUCCACAAGGCCACCGCCACCGCCACAACAGCUCGGAGCUCGGCCAGGAGGCACUGCAGUAAGCGGCCGAGUCGAGGAGCCGCCUGCGGGCGACCGGCGAGGAGGGUUAGGGGCCUCAGCUCCAACGCAGACACGAACGGAGUCCCUGUACCGAAGUUUAUGAGACAGACUGACACGGAGUCGCCCGGAGCAACGGGGUGGAUGGCAGCGUGUAGCAAUUCCUUGAGCCGUUGGGGAAGCUCCUCAAGGUUUUUUGGCUCUCAUAUGGGGCACCAGCCAUGUACACUGCUGCUAUUUGGUGGGUCAAACCGCCCUCGACGAAUCCAACGUCGGACUGGUGCUGUAUUCCUCGUAUGCUGCUGUCGGUGUAGGGAGUAUUGUUUCUGUAUCCACAGUCGAGGCUUAUGAACCCUGCAUAACGGAGAGUAUGUAUCGGUUUCAUGUGUUUCAGGUUUAAGAUAUGCUCAGAGAUGACAACUCUAGAUAUCCAAUAGCUAAUAGUAUGUGAGUGUUAAGAUCAAAGUAAACUGAGAUUUCUUAAGUUGAACUGACUGAAGUAAACUGAGCUGUGCAUGCAGAUGGAGCAGAGGUCAAAGAGGUGCAGGGAUCUAUCUAGAAGGGAAAAGCAGGAUGACACGAAUUUCAUUACCAGUGGUAGAAGAAGGCUGGCCAUGGACUCGAAUCGUCGUCGUGGCCAGGACGAGCAGCGGUGCCAAGAUCCAUGUCAGUUUUGUACUCGCCGAGCUGAUGAUCGCCAUGGCACUCUUGGGUUUUUGCAAGGCCUUGCAGGCGAGAGGCAUCCCUAUGUGCCACAGAGCAACCCUGUCAAUUAUAUGGCAGAGGAAACCAGCUAACGCGGCCGGUUUAGUGGUAUUUUUAGCGACUCGAGCUCAAUCGGCGCGGUGUGAUAAUAAAGAAAACGAAAGCUUUGUCCAUCAGUAGGUGAACUGCUACUUGCAUUAGUCUAAAGGUAAGACUUGCCAUGGAGUUCAGUUUGAUAA